CCCUUAGAUGUUCUGGGCUGCACGCGCGCUACACUGAUGCGUUCAACGAGUUUAUGACCUUGCCCGAUAGGGUUGGGCAAUCUUUUUAAAUCGCAUCGUGAUGGGGAUAGAUUAUUGCAAUUAUUAAUCUUCAACGAGGAAUUCCUAGUAAGCGCGAGUCAUCAGCUCGUGCUGAUUACGUCCCUGCCCUUUGUACACACCGCCCGUCGCUCCUACCGAUUAAGUGAUCCGGUGAAUAAUUCGGACUGCAGCAGUGUUCAGUUCCUGAACGUUGCAGCGGAAAGUUUAGUGAACCUUAUCACUUAGAGGAAGGAGAANUCGUANCA
RNAcentral lists this ribosomal RNA (326 nucleotides) under uncultured eukaryote. RNAcentral describes it as "partial 18S ribosomal RNA". It matches the Rfam family "Eukaryotic small subunit ribosomal RNA", at positions 1470 to 1796 of the family's 1831-position model. The record is from RNAcentral.